RNAcentral lists this ribosomal RNA (500 nucleotides) under uncultured bacterium. Its description in RNAcentral is "partial 16S ribosomal RNA". It matches the Rfam family "Bacterial small subunit ribosomal RNA", at positions 30 to 523 of the family's 1533-position model. The record is from RNAcentral.
AUUGAACGCUGGCGGCAUGCUUUACACAUGCAAGUCGAACGGUAACAGGGUGCUUGCACCGCUGACGAGUGGCGAACGGGUGAGUAAUGCAUCGGAACGUGCCCAGUCGUGGGGGAUAACUAUCCGAAAGGAUAGCUAAUACCGCAUACGAUCUGCGGAUGAAAGCGGGGGACCUUCGGGCCUCGCGCGAUUGGAGCGGCCGAUGUCAGAUUAGGUAGUUGGUGGGGUAAAGGCUCACCAAGCCAACGAUCUGUAGCUGGUCUGAGAGGACGACCAGCCACACUGGGACUGAGACACGGCCCAGACUCCUACGGGAGGCAGCAGUGGGGAAUUUUGGACAAUGGGCGCAAGCCUGAUCCAGCAAUGCCGCGUGCAGGAAGAAGGCCUUCGGGUUGUAAACUGCUUUUGUACGGAACGAAACGGCUCUGGUUAAUACCCGGGGCUAAUGACGGUACCGUAAGAAUAAGCACCGGCUAACUACGUGCCAGCCGCCGCGGUAA